RNAcentral lists this ribosomal RNA (495 nucleotides) under uncultured bacterium. RNAcentral's name for it is "partial 16S ribosomal RNA". It matches the Rfam family "Bacterial small subunit ribosomal RNA", at positions 28 to 507 of the family's 1533-position model. The record is from RNAcentral.
GAUGAACGCUGGCGGCGUGCCUAAUACAUGCAAGUCGAGCGAGCAGACGAGGAGCUUGCUCCUCUGACGUUAGCGGCGGACGGGUGAGUAACACGUGGAUAACCUACCUAUAAGACUGGGAUAACUUCGGGAAACCGGAGCUAAUACCGGAUAAUAUAUUGAACCGCAUGGUUUAAUAGUGAAAGACGGUUUUGCUGUCACUUAUAGAUGGAUCCGCGCCGCAUUAGCUAGUUGGUAAGGUAACGGCUUACCAAGGCGACGAUGCGUAGCCGACCUGAGGGUGAUCGGCCACACUGGAACUGAGACACGGUCCAGACUCCUACGGGAGGCAGCAGUAGGGAAUCUUCCGCAAUGGGCGAAAGCCUGACGGAGCAACGCCGCGUGAGUGAUGAAGGUCUUCGGAUCGUAAAACUCUGUUAUUAGGGAAGAACAAAUGUGUAAGUAACUAUGCACGUCUUGACGGUACCUAAUCAGAAAGCCACGGCUAACUACGUG